ACUUUGUAUAGAUUUCGUCAGACUUCAGCCAUCAGUUUAGUAAUGAGCAUCUGAGAAGAUCCUUAGCAUCGCUUACGUGUGAGGUCAGUGUAUAGCUACUUUAACAGCCCACCUCCAAAUCUAAAAGCAUAUGUCAUAGGCAGAAAAGGAAAGAGCAUGCUCUAUUAUGUCUUGUAAAUUCUGUAGAAACCGAAGAAUACCGUGAGGAGCAAAUAUCUCUACAAAUAAAAUGGUCGACUGUCAAGACAAAAGAUGCCAUAAUCAUAAAUUAUCCAUCUAUGAUAGGGUUCUUACUCACAGAAUGCUCCCCUUGCUCACAUGCCCUUGAGUCCCAAAACAGGUUCUGAACAUUACCAUCUAGCAAGCUGGGGUAUAGAAUAAGCACUCUCUAUCUCAAUAUAGUAGAUACAAUUCAUAGGUCAUACGAGCGAACAUAGUUGAUACAGAAUAUAAUAACAUUAGUACGCACUCACAUCCUAUUCCCUUUUGUGCAUUUCCUCAGACAUCUUGCCUGCUAUAGAAAGCAUCACAUAUUUGUAGAAACAAAGAGAUUUGUUCUUUGGCAGUCACCACAAAAGAGAAAGCAACUCAUGUCUAGUCAAGGACCAAGCAAGUAUUGUUGAUAUAAAAUUCUGAACCAAGCAAGUGCCAUUGGUC
This 657-nucleotide long non-coding RNA is filed under the name Triticum aestivum (bread wheat). RNAcentral's name for it is "long non-coding RNA (TAES_LNC007266)". Lineage: Eukaryota; Viridiplantae; Streptophyta; Magnoliopsida; Poales; Poaceae. The record is from RNAcentral.